CUGGCGGCGUGCCUAAUACAUGCAAGUCGAACGGGUCUUUCUAUGGAAGCUUGCUUCCACUGAGAAGAUAGUGGCGAACGGGUGAGUAACACGUGGGGUAACCUGCCCAUAAGAGGGGGGAGUAACAUCCGGAAACGGGUGCUAAUACCGCAUAGUUUUCUUGAUCGCAUGAUCGGGAAAGGAAAGACGGCCUUUGUGCUGUCGCUUAUGGAUGGACCCGCGGCGUAUUAGUUAGCUGGUGAGGUAACGGGCUCACCAAGACGAUGAUACGUAGCCGACCUGAGAGGGUGAUCGGCCACAUUGGGACUGAGACACGGCCCAAACUCCUACGGGAGGCAGCAGUAGGGAAUCUUCCGCAAUGGACGAAAGUCUGACGGAGCAACGCCGCGUGAGUGAAAGAAGGUUUUCGGAUCGUAAAACUCUGUUGUCAGAGAAGAACAAGUUGGAGAGUAACUGCUCCAGCCUUGACGGUAUCUGACCAGAAAGCCACGGCUAACUACGUGCCAGCCGCGGC
This 514-nucleotide ribosomal RNA is filed under the name uncultured bacterium. RNAcentral describes it as "bacterial SSU rRNA". It matches the Rfam family "Bacterial small subunit ribosomal RNA", at positions 36 to 518 of the family's 1533-position model. The record is from RNAcentral.